GUGACGCUGGCGGCGUGCCUAAUACAUGCAAGUCGAGCGAAUGGAUUAAGAGCUUGCUCUUAUGAAGUUAGCGGCGGACGGGUGAGUAACACGUGGGUAACCUGCCCAUAAGACUGGGAUAACUCCGGGAAACCGGGGCUAAUACCGGAUAACAUUUUGAACCGCAUGGUUCGAAAUUGAAAGGCGGCUUCGGCUGUCACUUAUGGAUGGACCCGCGUCGCAUUAGCUAGUUGGUGAGGUAACGGCUCACCAAGGCAACGAUGCGUAGCCGACCUGAGAGGGUGAUCGGCCACACUGGGACUGAGACACGGCCCAGACUCCUACGGGAGGCAGCAGUAGGGAAUCUUCCGCAAUGGACGAAAGUCUGACGGAGCAACGCCGCGUGAGUGAUGAAGGCUUUCGGGUCGUAAAACUCUGUUGUUAGGGAAGAACAAGUGCUAGUUGAAUAAGCUGGCACCUUGACGGUACCUAACCAGAAAGCCACGGCUAACUACGUGCCAGCAGCCGCGGUAAUACGUAGGUGGCAAGCGUUAUCCGGAAUUAUUGGGCGUAAAGCGCGCGCAGGUGGUUUCUUAAGUCUGAUGUGAAAGCCCCACGGCUCAACCGUGGGAGGGUCAUUGGAAACUGGGAGACUUGAGUGCAGAACAGGAAAGUGGAAUUCCAUGUGUAGCGGUGAAAUGCCGUAAAAGAUUUUGGGAGGAACACCACUG
RNAcentral lists this ribosomal RNA (710 nucleotides) under Bacillus cereus. RNAcentral describes it as "bacterial SSU rRNA". It matches the Rfam family "Bacterial small subunit ribosomal RNA", at positions 30 to 714 of the family's 1533-position model. Lineage: Bacteria; Bacillati; Bacillota; Bacilli; Caryophanales; Bacillaceae. The record is from RNAcentral.